GGCUCAGGAUGAACGCUAGCGGCAGGCUUAAUACAUGCAAGUCGUGGGGCAGCAUGAGUAGCAAUACUUGAUGGCGACCGGCAAACGGGUGAGGAACACGUACACAACCUUCCUUCAAGCGGGGAAUAGCCCAGAGAAAUUUGGAUUAAUACCCCAUAAUAUAUUUGAUAAGGCAUCUUAUUAAUAUUAAAGCUUCGGCACUUGAUGAUGGGUGUGCGGCUGAUUAGAUAGUUGGCGGGGUAACGGCCCACCAAGUCUACGAUCAGUAGCUGAUGUGAGAGCAUGAUCAGCCACACGGGCACUGAGACACGGGCCCGACUCCUACGGGAGGCAGCAGUAAGGAAUAUUGGACAAUGGACGAAAGUCCGAUCCAGCCAUGCCGCGUGAAGGAUUAAGGUCCUCUGGAUUGUAAACUUCUUUUAUAUGGGACGAAAAAAGGGCAUUCUUGUUCACUUGACGGUACCAUAUGAAUAAGCACCGGCUAACUCCGUG
RNAcentral lists this ribosomal RNA (492 nucleotides) under uncultured bacterium. RNAcentral describes it as "bacterial SSU rRNA". It matches the Rfam family "Bacterial small subunit ribosomal RNA", at positions 21 to 507 of the family's 1533-position model. The record is from RNAcentral.